Molecule: ribosomal RNA, 254 nt
Filed under: uncultured bacterium
Lineage: Bacteria
Description: partial 16S ribosomal RNA
Rfam family: Bacterial small subunit ribosomal RNA
Source: RNAcentral
UACGUAGGGUGCAAGCGUUGUCCGGAUUUACUGGGCGUAAAGAGCGCGUAGGCGGUCUGUUAAGUGUAGCGUGAAAUCUCCAGGGCUCAACCCGGAAACUGCUCUGCAUACUGGCAGACUGGAGGGACUGAGAGGUGAAUGGAAUUCCUGGUGUAGCGGUGAAAUGCGUAGAUAUCAGGAGGAACACCCAUGGCGAAGGCAGUUCACUGGCAGUCUCCUGACGCUGAGGAGCGAAAGCGUGGGUAGCAAACAGG